This 497-nucleotide ribosomal RNA is filed under the name uncultured bacterium. RNAcentral describes it as "partial 16S ribosomal RNA". It matches the Rfam family "Bacterial small subunit ribosomal RNA", at positions 28 to 507 of the family's 1533-position model. The record is from RNAcentral.
GAUGAACGCUGGCGGCGUGCCUAAUACAUGCAAGUCGAGCGAACAGGUUAGGUGCUUGUUCCUCUUACAUUAGCAGCGAACGGGUGAGUAACACGUGGGUAACCUGCCUAUAAGCGUGGGAUAACUUUGGGAAACGAAUGCUAAUACCGCAUAAAAUCUUUAAACACAUGGUUCAAGAUUGAAAGACGCAAUUGCAUCACCCAAUGAUGAUAUCCCGUUGGAUUUGCCUAGUUGGUAAGGUAAGGGUAUACAAGGCGAACGAUGCGUACCCGCCCUGGGAGGGUGAUCGGCCACAUUGGAACUGAGCACGGGUCCAGACUCCUACGGGAGGAAGAAGAAGGGAACCUUCAGAAAUGGGCGAAAGCCUGACGGGGCAACGCGGCGGGAGUGAUGAAGUUUUCCGGAUCGAAAAACUCUGUUAUUAGGGAGGAACAAAUGUGUAAGGAACUAUGCACGUCUUGACGGUACCUAACCAGAAAGACACGGCUAACUACGUG